Molecule: ribosomal RNA, 253 nt
Filed under: uncultured bacterium
Lineage: Bacteria
Description: partial 16S ribosomal RNA
Rfam family: Bacterial small subunit ribosomal RNA
Source: RNAcentral
UACAGAGGUCUCAAGCGUUGUUCGGAUUCAUUGGGCGUAAAGGGCGCGUAGGCGGCGGGGUAAGUCGGGUGUGAAAUCUCAGAGCUCAACUCUGAAACUGCACUCGAUACUGCUCUGCUUGAGGACUGGAGAGGAGACUGGAAUUUACGGUGUAGCGGUGAAAUGCGUAGAUAUCGUAAGGAAGACCAGUGGCGAAGGCGGGUCUCUGGACAGUUCCUGACGCUGAGGCACGAAGGCCAGGGGAGCAAACGGG